AGGGGUAUAGUGUUAACGGUUAGCACGUCGGUCUCCAAAACCGAAAGUUCGGGUUCGAAUCCUGAUACCCCUGCCA
Molecule: transfer RNA, 76 nt
Filed under: Acidobacteriota bacterium
Lineage: Bacteria; Pseudomonadati; Acidobacteriota
Also listed under: 1 other name
Description: Acidobacteria bacterium (activated sludge metagenome) tRNA-Trp
Rfam family: tRNA
About the family: Transfer RNA (tRNA) molecules are approximately 80 nucleotides in length. Their secondary structure includes four short double-helical elements and three loops (D, anti-codon, and T loops). Further hydrogen bonds mediate the characteristic L-shaped molecular structure. tRNAs have two regions of fundamental functional importance: the anti-codon, which is responsible for specific mRNA codon recognition, and the 3' end, to which the tRNAs corresponding amino acid is attached (by aminoacyl-tRNA synthetases). tRNAs cope with the degeneracy of the genetic code in two manners: having more than one tRNA (with a specific anti-codon) for a particular amino acid; and 'wobble' base-pairing, i.e. permitting non-standard base-pairing at the 3rd anti-codon position.
Source: RNAcentral